RNAcentral lists this ribosomal RNA (259 nucleotides) under uncultured Staphylococcus sp. RNAcentral describes it as "partial 16S ribosomal RNA". It matches the Rfam family "Bacterial small subunit ribosomal RNA", at positions 103 to 355 of the family's 1533-position model. Lineage: Bacteria; Bacillati; Bacillota; Bacilli; Caryophanales; Staphylococcaceae. The record is from RNAcentral.
CGGGUGAGUAACACGUGGAUAACCUACCUAUAAGACUGGGAUAACUUCGGGAAGCCGGAGCUAAUACCGGAUAAUAUAUUGAACCGCAUGGUUCAAUAGUGAAAGACGGUUUUGCUGUCACUUAUAGAUGGAUCCGCGCCGCAUUAGCUAGUUGGUAAGGUAACGGCUUACCAAGGCAACGAUGCGUAGCCGACCUGAGAGGGUGAUCGGCCACACUGGAACUGAGACACGGUCCAGACUCCUACGGGAGGCAGCAGCU